GGACUAUCAGCAAUUGCCCUGUUGUAUUUAAUCUACUGGACCUAAGUGGAAAUACAAGGGCUUGCAAAAACACCGCCUUGAAGCUCGACAAAUUGAAGUUUGAGCAAUACAAGCUUAUGGUUGGACAUCGUCUACCAGAUGAUGUGAAUCUGCAAAUGCAUAACUGUCUCGAGAAGAUUACAACUUUAGAAAACUGAUUGUAUUGUUGGCAUGUAUAGGAAGUCUAUUUCAA
Molecule: unclassified non-coding RNA, 232 nt
Filed under: Hevea brasiliensis (rubber tree)
Lineage: Eukaryota; Viridiplantae; Streptophyta; Magnoliopsida; Malpighiales; Euphorbiaceae
Source: RNAcentral